Molecule: transfer RNA, 82 nt
Filed under: Penaeus vannamei (Pacific white shrimp)
Lineage: Eukaryota; Metazoa; Arthropoda; Malacostraca; Decapoda; Penaeidae
Description: Litopenaeus vannamei (Pacific white shrimp) tRNA
Rfam family: tRNA
About the family: Transfer RNA (tRNA) molecules are approximately 80 nucleotides in length.
Source: Rfam by way of RNAcentral
GCUGUGGUGUCCGAGUGGUUAAGGAUAUGGACUUGAAAUCCAUUGGGCUUUGCCCGCACAGGUUCGAAUCCUGUCCGCAGCG